RNAcentral lists this ribosomal RNA (433 nucleotides) under uncultured bacterium. RNAcentral describes it as "bacterial SSU rRNA". It matches the Rfam family "Bacterial small subunit ribosomal RNA", at positions 957 to 1391 of the family's 1533-position model. The record is from RNAcentral.
GAACGCGAAGAACCUUACCUACCCUUGACAUGCCAGGAAGCCCGCAGAGAUGUGGGUGUGCCCGAAAGGGAACCUGGACACAGGUGCUGCAUGGCUGUCGUCAGCUCGUGUCGUGAGAUGUUGGGUUAAGUCCCGCAACGAGCGCAACCCUUGCCAUUAGUUGCUACAUUCAGUUGGGCACUCUAAUGGGACCGCCGGUGACAAACCGGAGGAAGUGGGGAUGACGUCAAGUCCUCAUGGCCCUUAUGGGUAGGGCUUCACACGUAAUACAAUGGUCGGUACAGAGGGCUGCCAACCCGCAAGGGGGAGCUAAUCCCAGAAAGCCGAUCGUAGUCCGGAUUGUAGUCUGCAACUCGACUGCAUGAAGCCGGAAUCGCUAGUAAUCGCGGAUCAGCAUGUCGCGGUGAAUACGUUCCCGGGUCUUGUACACACC